AACGCUAGGGGCGCAUUCGCUGAGACGGAUCAUGAUCCGGACCCUUUCACCUGACCCGGGUAAUGCCGGCGUAGGGAAGCGAAGAGU
This 87-nucleotide non-coding RNA is filed under the name bovine gut metagenome. Its description in RNAcentral is "TPP riboswitch (THI element)". It matches the Rfam family "TPP riboswitch aptamer (THI element)", at positions 7 to 92 of the family's 105-position model. From Rfam's summary of the family: Vitamin B(1) in its active form thiamin pyrophosphate (TPP) is an essential coenzyme that is synthesised by coupling of pyrimidine and thiazole moieties in bacteria. The previously detected thiamin-regulatory element, thi box was extended, resulting in a new, highly conserved RNA secondary structure, the THI element, which is widely distributed in eubacteria and also occurs in some archaea. The record is from RNAcentral.